AGUGAACGCUGGCGGUAGGCCUAACACAUGCAAGUCGAACGGCAGCACAGUAAGAGCUUGCUCUUACGGGUGGCGAGUGGCGGACGGGUGAGGAAUACAUCGGAAUCUACUUUUUCGUGGGGGAUAACGUAGGGAAACUUACGCUAAUACCGCAUACGACCUACGGGUGAAAGCAGGGGAUCUUCGGACCUUGCGCGAUUGAAUGACCCGAUGUCGGAUUAGCUAGUUGGCGGGGUAAAGGCCCACCAAGGCGACGAUCCGUAGCUGGUCGGAGAGGAUGAUCGGCCACACUGGAACUGAGACACGGUCCAGAGUCCUGCGGGAGGCAGCAGUGUGGAAUAUUGGACAAUGGGCGCAAGCCUGAUCCAGCCAUACCGCGUGGGUGAAGAAGGCGUUCGGGUUGUAAAGCCCUUUUGUUGGGAAAGAAAAGCAGCAGGUUAAUACCCCGCUGUUCUGACGGUACCCAAAGAAUAAGCACCGGCUAACUUCGUG
This 492-nucleotide ribosomal RNA is filed under the name uncultured bacterium. Its description in RNAcentral is "partial 16S ribosomal RNA". It matches the Rfam family "Bacterial small subunit ribosomal RNA", at positions 29 to 507 of the family's 1533-position model. The record is from RNAcentral.